This 615-nucleotide ribosomal RNA is filed under the name Brevundimonas sp. Ri2Pw_5992. Its description in RNAcentral is "bacterial SSU rRNA". It matches the Rfam family "Bacterial small subunit ribosomal RNA", at positions 395 to 1027 of the family's 1533-position model. The record is from RNAcentral. Lineage: Bacteria; Pseudomonadati; Pseudomonadota; Alphaproteobacteria; Caulobacterales; Caulobacteraceae.
UGCCGCGUGAAUGAUGAAGGUCUUAGGAUUGUAAAAUUCUUUCACCGGGGACGAUAAUGACGGUACCCGGAGAAGAAACCCCGGCUAACUUCGUGCCAGCACCCGCGGUAAUACAAAGGGGGCUAGCGUUGCUCGGAAUUACUGGGCGUAAAGGGAGCGUAGGCGGACAUUUAAGUCAGGGGUGAAAUCCCAGAGCUCAACUCUGGAACUGCCUUUGAUACUGGGUGUCUUGAGUGUGAUGGAGGUAGGUGGAACUCCAAGUGUGGAGGUGAAAUUCAUAGAUAUUCUGAAGAACACCACUGGCGAAGGCGACGUACAUGAUCAUUACUGACGCUGAGGUUCGAAAGCGUGGGGAGCAAACAGGAUUAGAUACCCUGGUAGUCCACGCCGUAAACGAUGAUUGCUAGUUGUUGGGAUGUUUACAUCUCGGUGACGCAGCUUACGCAUUAAGCAAUCCGCCUGGGGAGUACGGUCGCAAGAUUAAAACUCUAAGGAAUUGACGGGGGCCCGCACAAGCGGUGGAGCAUGUGGUUUGAUUCGAAACAACGCGGGAGAAACUUACCACCUUUUGACAUGCCCGGACCACCACAAAAAUGUGGCUCUCUCUUCACAGAC